AGAAGUAUCACUCUAUUGGUAGAGUGCUGCCCUUACAAGGCAGGUGUCACUGGUGUAAUACCACGUAACUCAA
Molecule: transfer RNA, 73 nt
Filed under: Proteomonas sulcata
Lineage: Eukaryota; Cryptophyceae; Pyrenomonadales; Geminigeraceae
Description: tRNA-Ala
Source: RNAcentral